GUGGCGGAGGUGGAGAUGGUGUUGAUGAUGCCGGUGAUUGGUUGGUUACCAUUAUUUUUCUCAUUGGGUGCUAUUGGAAAUUAUGCCCUAAAGCCAAUCGUUUGACGAUUGUGCUAAUUAUAAAUACAUAUGAAUUGUUUAUUAAUAAAAGUUAUUUGGCUUUUUUAUCAUAAAGUAUAUUUUUUUUUUAUGAACUCCUAUAUUAUGAUG
RNAcentral lists this long non-coding RNA (210 nucleotides) under Elaeis guineensis (African oil palm). RNAcentral describes it as "long non-coding RNA (EGUI_LNC032689)". The record is from RNAcentral. Lineage: Eukaryota; Viridiplantae; Streptophyta; Magnoliopsida; Arecales; Arecaceae.